This is a long non-coding RNA of Dermacentor silvarum, 447 nucleotides long. RefSeq lists it as uncharacterized. Lineage: Eukaryota; Metazoa; Arthropoda; Arachnida; Ixodida; Ixodidae. The transcript has 2 exons. The record is from RefSeq and is a predicted model, not a curated record.
UUUGAUAUUUUUUUUCUUUUUUAAGUGGAGUUAAACUCUGAUCAACUGGUCUUCAUGUCUUACGACUGUUUUUGAUUGAACCAUUUUUUUUUUUGCGACUUGUAUUGUUUUGAGUACCCGCGAGCGAUAACAGUUGUGGGAGAGUCAACCAGCGAGUUAUCCCACGAUGUCAGCGACCAAGCCACCCCAUUUACUUCCCUUGGGACCCCAUUGGCACUUUUGCUUUGAAAAGUCAAGCCAAGCCAGUCCAAGCCAAGCGCAGCAUUGAAGAAAAACAUGGCAGCGGACAGCGGUGUCUCUUAUGGGCUCUCGCUGUUCUCUGUUUUUGGACAAAGACAUUUCAAGUGGUGAAGUCUCCUGGCUUUAUCACGCUACUUUCAACAUUUCUUGUCAGUCUGACAUGUGCAGUUAUUAAGCGAACUUAAUAAAAUAGGUUUGUGUGCAUCG